UACGAAGGGGGCUAGCGUUGCUCGGAAUCACUGGGCGUAAAGCGCACGUAGGCGGCUUCUUAAGUCAGGGGUGAAAUCCUGGAGCUCAACUCCAGAACUGCCUUUGAUACUGAGGAGCUUGAGUCCGGGAGAGGUGAGUGGAACUCCGAGUGUAGAGGUGAAAUUCGUAGAUAUUCGGAAGAACACCAGUGGCGAAGGCGGCUCACUGGUCCGGUACUGACGCUGAGGUGCGAAAGCGUGGGGAGCAAACAGG
RNAcentral lists this ribosomal RNA (253 nucleotides) under uncultured bacterium. Its description in RNAcentral is "partial 16S ribosomal RNA". It matches the Rfam family "Bacterial small subunit ribosomal RNA", at positions 524 to 776 of the family's 1533-position model. The record is from RNAcentral.